RNAcentral lists this ribosomal RNA (484 nucleotides) under uncultured bacterium. Its description in RNAcentral is "partial 16S ribosomal RNA". It matches the Rfam family "Bacterial small subunit ribosomal RNA", at positions 30 to 507 of the family's 1533-position model. The record is from RNAcentral.
AUUGAACGCUGGCGGCAGGCCUAACACAUGCAAGUCGAGCGGAUGAAGGGAGCUUGCUCCUGGAUUCAGCGGCGGACGGGUGAGUAAUGCCUAGGAAUCUGCCUGGUAGUGGGGGAUAACGUCCGGAAACGGGCGCUAAUACCGCAUACGUCCUGAGGGAGAAAGUGGGGGAUCUUCGGACCUCACGCUAUCAGAUGAGCCUAGGUCGGAUUAGCUAGUUGGUGGGGUAAAGGCCUACCAAGGCGACGAUCCGUAACUGGUCUGAGAGGAUGAUCAAUCACACGGGAACUUAGACACGGUCCAGACUCCUACGGGAGGCAGCAGUGGGGAAUAUUGGACAAUGGGCGAAAGCCUGAUCCAGCCAUGCCGCGUGUGUGAAGAAGGUCUUCGGAUUGUAAAGCACUUUAAGUUGGGAGGAAGGGCAGUAAGUUAAUACCUUGCUGUUUUGACGUUACCAACAGAAUAAGCACCGGCUAACUUCGUG